This 386-nucleotide unclassified non-coding RNA is filed under the name Hevea brasiliensis (rubber tree). The record is from RNAcentral. Lineage: Eukaryota; Viridiplantae; Streptophyta; Magnoliopsida; Malpighiales; Euphorbiaceae.
GUCAGAGAACACUUCUUCUUUCUUUUCAAUAUCCUUUCCGUUGUCUAGUUCCUGCACACAUGCAUAUAUAGAUAAGCUCAUGUGAAGAGAGAAUCAAAGAUGGAGACUUUCUCUUGAAUUUCAUCAUUUUAACAUGUUAUUUUGAUGUCUUUCCUAUUUAUAAUGCUCAAUUAUAAGUAUACCUUCCCUUUAGUUAGUCAUUUUUGUCAUUUUGGAUGAUGAUCAUGAUGUGUUUGGAUUGGAACGAUUAGAUUUAAGCAUGCCAAAGGGAUAGUGACACUGAUUUCUUCUUGUAUAAUGGGUCAGAUGCGUUUAUGAGCCUAUUCAUAGAUGAUACUAGUUAAUGAGUGAUCUAUAUGCGAAACCCUCUAAAAUACAAUUGAUCA